UGGUCAAGUUAUUAAGGGUGCAGGGCGGAUGCCUUGGCACUAGGAGCCGAUGAAGGACGUGAUAAGCUGCGAUAAGCUUCGGGGAGUUGCACGUAAACUUUGAUCCGAAGAUUUCCGAAUGAGGAAACUCACUUAGAGUAAUGUCUAAGUAUCAUUAAGUGAAUACAUAGCUUAAUGAGGGGAACUCAGGGAACUGAAACAUCUAAGUACCUGAAGGAAGAGAAAGAAAUUCGAUUCCGUAAGUAGCGGCGAGCGAACGCGGAUUAGCCCAAACCAAUAAAGUUUUCUUUGUUGGGGUUGCGGACAUAUCAUAACGAAGAGGUAUCGUAAUUGAAGAGGUUUGGAAAGACCCACCACAGAAGGUAAUAGUCCUGUAUGUUAAACGAGAAGACUUUAGAUAUGAUCCAGAGUACCACGGGACACGUGAAACCCUGUGGGAAGCAGGAGGGACCACCCUCCAAGGCUAAAUACUACCUAGUGACCGAUAGCGUAUAGUACCGUGAGGGAAAGGUGAAAAGAACCCCGGGAGGGGAGUGAAAUAGAACCUGAAACCCUGCACUUACAAGCUGUGGAAGCACAUUUCUUGUGUGACCGCGUACUUUUUGUAGAACGGGCCAACGAGUUACGUUAAGUAGCAAGGUUAAGCACUUAAGGUGUGGAGCCGUAGCGAAAGCGAGUUUUAACUGAGCGUUCAGUUACUUGACGUAGACCCGAAACCGGGCGACCUACCCAUGAGCAGGAUGAAGCGAAAGUAAAAUUUCGUGGAGGUCCGAACCCACGAGCGUUGAAAAGCUCGGGGAUGACUUGUGGGUAGCGGUGAAAUUCCAAUCGAGCCCGGAGAUAGCUGGUUCUCCCCGAAAUAGCUUUAGGGCUAGCCUCAAGGUGAGAGAUACGGAGGUAGAGCACUGAAUGUCCUAGGGGGUAUUGCACCUACCGAAGACUAUCAAACUCCGAAUGCCGUCAUCUUAUACUUGGGAGUCAGACUGUGGGUGAUAAGAUUCAUAGUCGAAAGGGCAACAGCCCAGAUCGUCAGCUAAGGUCCCUAAAUGUAAGUUAAGUGGUAAAGGAUGUGGGAUUGCACAGACAACCAGGAUGUUGGCUUAGAAGCAGCCACUCAUUCAAAGAGUGCGUAAUAGCUCACUGGUCGAGUGAUCCUGCGCCGAAGAUUUCCGGGGCUAAAACUUACUACCGAAGCUACGGCAUCAGUAAUGAUGGGUAGGGGAGCUUCCCAUACGGGUUGAAGCAUGACCGUAAGGACAUGUGGACAGUAUGGGAGUGAGAAUGUUGGCAUGAGUAGCGAGAUGUGGGUGAGAAUCCCACAGGCCGUAAACCCAAGGUUUCCAGGGGAAGGUUCGUCCGCCCUGGGUUAGUCGGGACCUAAGCUGAGGCCGAAAGGCGUAGGUGAUGGACAACAGGUUGAUAUUACUGUACUACCGAUAACCGUUUGAGAGAAGGGAUGACACAGUAGGAUAAGCUAAGCACACUGUUGGUUAUGUGUGCCCAAGCAUUGAGGCAGUCAAAGUAGGUAAAUCCGCUUUGAUAAUGCUGGGAUGUGAUGGGGAGCGAAAUUUAGUAGCGAAGUAGCUGAUUUCACACUGUCAAGAAAAGUCUCUAUCGAGGUUAAAGGUACCCGUACCGCAAACCGACACAGGUGGGUGAGGAGAGUAUCCUAAGGCCAGCGAGAGAACUGUUGUUAAGGAACUCGGCAAAAUGACCCCGUAACUUAGGGAUAAGGGGUGCCACCAUCAGGUGGCCGCAGAGAAUAGGCCCAAGCGACUGUUUACCAAAAACAUAGGUUUCUGCUAAGUCGCAAGACGAUGUAUAGGAGCUGACGCCUGCCCGGUGCUGGAAGGUUAAGGGGAUCUGUUAGAGCAAUCGAAGCAGUGAACUUAAGCCCCAGUAAACGGCGGCCGUAACUAUAACGGUCCUAAGGUAGCGAAAUUCCUUGUCGGGUAAGUUCCGACCCGCACGAAAGGCGUAACGAUUUGGGCACUGUCUCAACAACAGACUCGGUGAAAUUGUAAUUCCGGUGAAGAUGCCGGAUACCUGCGACAGGACGGAAAGACCCCAUGGAGCUUUACUGUAGCUUGACAUUGGGUCUUGGUACUACAUGUACAGGAUAGGUGGGAGGCUUUGAAACCAGGACGCCAGUUUUGGCGGAGCCAUCCUUGGGAUACCACCCUUGUAGUACUGGGACUCUAACCAUAGGCCAUGAAUCUGGUCUUGGGACACUGUCAGGUGGGCAGUUUGACUGGGGCGGUCGCCUCCCAAAAGGUAACGGAGGCGCUCAAAGGUUCUCUCAGUACGGUCGGAAAUCGUACGUAGAGUGUAAAGGCAAAAGAGAGCUUGAUUGCAAGACAUACAGGUCGAGCAAGGAUGAAAAUCGGACUUAGUGAUCCGGUGGUUCUGCGUGGAAGGGCCAUCGCUCAACGGAUAAAAGCUACCCUGGGGAUAACAGGCUUAUCUCCCCCAAGAGUCCACAUCGACGGGGAGGUUUGGCACCUCGAUGUCGGCUCAUCACAUCCUGGGGCUGUAGUAGGUCCCAAGGGUUGGGCUGUUCGCCCAUUAAAGUGGUACGCGAGCUGGGUUCAGAACGUCGUGAGACAGUUCGGUCCCUAUCCGUCGCAGGCGUAGGAAAUUUGAGAAGACCUGUCCUUAGUACGAGAGGACCGGGAUGGACGUACCUCUGGUGUACCAGUUGUUCUGCCAAGGGCAUGGCUGGGUAGCUAUGUACGGAAUGGAUAAGCGCUGAAAGCAUCUAAGCGCGAAGCCAACUUCAAGAUAAGAUUUCCCACCGCAAGGGUAAGACCCCAGAAAGACUAUCUGGUUGAUAGGUCGAAGGUGUAAGUGCAGCAAUGUAUUUAGCUUAUCGAUACUAAUAGGUCGAGGACUUGACCAAU
This 2900-nucleotide ribosomal RNA is filed under the name Clostridioides difficile. RNAcentral's name for it is "bacterial LSU rRNA". It matches the Rfam family "Bacterial large subunit ribosomal RNA". The record is from RNAcentral. Lineage: Bacteria; Bacillati; Bacillota; Clostridia; Peptostreptococcales; Peptostreptococcaceae.